This is a long non-coding RNA of Helianthus annuus (common sunflower), 536 nucleotides long. RefSeq lists it as uncharacterized. The transcript is spliced from 2 exons. NCBI's taxonomy places the organism in Eukaryota, Viridiplantae, Streptophyta, Magnoliopsida, Asterales, Asteraceae. The record is from RefSeq and is a predicted model, not a curated record.
CUAUUCUUCUCUCUAUACGUUGGUGUUCUAACCAAUAAUCACCGAUACGAUAUUCUGUCCGAUCGAUUCCGGAACCAACUAACCAAUGCCAAAGUGCUGUCUAAAUAAGACUAUACUUUGUGAAUUUCAUUAAGGUUCUGAUCUCGUGACCAUCGUUAUGUUUGAUUGGGUUUAACACUGAUACGUAUUCCACUCUAUUAAACUAAAUGUUUAACUAUCAGAAAACUCCAAACUAUACACUUACAAUCAAACAAGAUGUUUAAUCAUCAGAAGAUUCAGAACUAUAAAGUAGAUGCUUAGUUAUCAGAAGGCAUAGAAUCAGUAGGCUUGUUUAAUCAAGACUAUAUGCUAACAAGGUGAUUACAGUAGAUCAGACUAAGAGUUGUGAUACGGCACCGAAGGCUUAAAGAAGUGGCUUAUUUUAUCAAUAAACUAAAUCAAGAAAUGUUGUUCGGAUUUAUCCCAUACUAAUGCCACCUUUGUAAAACAUGGGUUUAUUCCCCUCUGUUUAAUAAAUAAAAUCUGGUGUUUCGAAA